Molecule: long non-coding RNA, 1829 nt
Organism: Etheostoma spectabile (orangethroat darter)
Lineage: Eukaryota; Metazoa; Chordata; Actinopteri; Perciformes; Percidae
Exons: 2
Source: RefSeq, a predicted model, not a curated record
AGUUUAGUAUCUGUUCAGGCUGAAACUGCACAGGUGUGUUCACUUAUUCAGCCUGAUUACAGACUGAGUCAGGGUCUAAUCAGCAUCAACACCUGUGUGAGCUGCUAAGAGUCAGUGAAUAUUGUGAGCCAUUUCAACUAUUUGCCAAUUAUCAGUUUAAGUGAACUAACCUUUUUGCGCUUACGCAUUUUCUUUUUGCCCUUUGUACUACAUUGACUCAUUAAAUCAGAAAAUGUAAUAGAAUUUGUCACAUCAAAAAUCUAUUCUUCAGCAUCAAGUAUUCUGGUUAUGAUGUUAUGUCGUUUUUGAGAAUCCAUACUAUUGGAUAUUUGAUUUUUACUCAGGCAAAAUGUUAUUAUUUCCGUCAUGAAUUCCUUUUUUGAUGAGGUGAAUUUAAAAUAUAUAUUCUUGAUCUUGAAAUGAUUCAAUAAAUCACCCACUUUUUUAUGAACUGCUUGACAAGUAAAAAAAAAUACGUAAAAAAAGUCAAAUUUUGAAAUUUUAAAUAAAGGUAAUGAUCCAUGGAUCAUUAAGAAUUGCAUUGAUGUUAUCCGAGAUCAAAACUUGGAUUUUGUAAAUAGAAAUGUAUUCUUGGUUAAAAGAAAAAAGAAAAGAAAGCUAAAACAUUGCAGAUGCCAGGAGCUUCAGUUCGACCUAUGUUUGUGUUCACUUGUGAUUUGUCAGCACAGCGUUGUGUUGUGGUUUUUUUGUUCCAACUCAGACAAGGAGAGCAGCGGAUCCUGUCAGUAUGCAAGUGUUUCAGUGUGUGAAUUCCUGUUUGUCUGCGGAGCGUCUCGGUGCAGAAAACAAAUCACGUUUUAAAAAGGGCUUUUCUGAAGCAUUCAAAGUUCCAAUGGCUGUGAUUUCUGGAAGAUAUUUAUUUCCUGUUCGAGACAUCAAGUGUGCGCUGUAGGUCGGGAUUCUGCACCAUGAGGUGUCCAGCAUUUAAGAAACAAACUGCACAUUUCUUAAUGAUAGUACAGUAGAUGAUGUAUGAAGGAACCACAAUAAUUUUCUGUAUCCCAAAAUAAACAUUCAGAUGCAAUAAAACUUCAUUUGGAGCAAACUUACACUAACAUGAGGAGGGCAUGUAAGAUCAAAUAGUACGCUACUAAAAACAAAACAAAGCUCUGUGUAUUAUCUCUCAGAAACUGAGUGUUUUCUCUGUCAUGUGUUAUUUAGUCCUUCCAUGUUUUUCAUGAAGUGUGAAUUAACACAUUGUGAUCGUCCAACACUAGCUAAAGAGUGGCGGACCUGCAGAACCUUAAAACAACUGAGUUAGGAUGAAUGGAUGUGUGUUGGCGGUUAGGGUAGUUGCAGCAGUUAGCGUGCCUAAAGCAGAGGUUAUCAACUGUUUUUUCAGCCGAGGCUAAAUGAAAUACAGAAGAGAAGAGGGGUUUUGGGGUAAAAGUUUGCAUGCCGCCACAGAGGAAGGACAUCCUGGUAGUCUCAACUCUCUCUGCCAAAGAAAUUUCCAGCCUGUCGAUCAAUAAAGCCUCAGACAUGAAUCCAUUCAGGGUGUUUUGGGGGACGAAGCUGCACGUUCUACACUUUGUAUUUGUAAGUUUCUGGGGAACAGUGAGUACAGAACCACUUUCAUUAUUCAGUGAUGGUUUCCAGACAUUUUUGUCUUAGGAUAGGACUGAAACAGUUGCAUUUGUUUCCUCUCUGCUUCAUUAGUUGACGUGUUUCUAUUAAAUCCUGCAGUUAAGAGUAUGAGGCUUUUUGCUGACCAGCAGGCGGCGCCAGCUGCUGUCAAACGUGCAUCAACUGCAGCUGAUCUGUAACUGAUUUAAUUUACAGUGUUUAAUAAAAAGGAUGCAAAACUG